GAUGAACGCUGGCGGCGUGCCUAAUACAUGCAAGUCGAGCGAACGGACGAGAAGCUUGCUUCUCUGAUGUUAGCGGCGGACGGGUGAGUAACACGUGGAUAACCUACCUAUAAGACUGGGAUAACUUCGGGAAACCGGAGCUAAUACCGGAUAAUAUUUUGAACCGCAUGGUUCAAAAGUGAAAGACGGUCUUGCUGUCACUUAUAGAUGGAUCCGCGCUGCAUUAGCUAGUUGGUAAGGUAACGGCUUACCAAGGCAACGAUGCAUAGCCGACCUGAGAGGGUGAUCGGCCACACUGGAACUGAGACACGGUCCAGACUCCUACGGGAGGCAGCAGUAGGGAAUCUUCCGCAAUGGGCGAAAGCCUGACGGAGCAACGCCGCGUGAGUGAUGAAGGUCUUCGGAUCGUAAAACUCUGUUAUUAGGGAAGAACGUAUGUGUAAGUAACUGUGCACAUCUUGACGGUACCUAAUCAGAAAGCCACGGCUAACUACGUG
Molecule: ribosomal RNA, 497 nt
Filed under: uncultured bacterium
Lineage: Bacteria
Description: partial 16S ribosomal RNA
Rfam family: Bacterial small subunit ribosomal RNA
Source: RNAcentral